RNAcentral lists this ribosomal RNA (497 nucleotides) under uncultured bacterium. RNAcentral describes it as "partial 16S ribosomal RNA". It matches the Rfam family "Bacterial small subunit ribosomal RNA", at positions 28 to 507 of the family's 1533-position model. The record is from RNAcentral.
GAUGAACGCUGGCGGCGUGCCUAAUACAUGCAAGUCGAGCGAACAGACGAGGAGCUUGCUUCUCUGAUGUUAGCGGCGGACGGGUGAGUAACACGUGGAUAACCUACCUAUAAGACUGGGAUAACUUCGGGAAACCGGAGCUAAUACCGGAUAAUAUAUUGAACCGCAUGGUUCAAUAGUGAAAGACGGUUUUGCUGUCACUUAUAGAUGGAUCCGCGCCGCAUUAGCUAGUUGGUAAGGUAACGGCUUACCAAGGCAACGAUGCGUAGCCGACCUGAGAGGGUGAUCGGCCACACUGGAACUGAGACACGGUCCAGACUCCUACGGGAGGCAGCAGUAGGGAAUCUUCCGCAAUGGGCGAAAGCCUGACGGAGCAACGCCGCGUGAGUGAUGAAGGUCUUCGGAUCGUAAAACUCUGUUAUUAGGGAAGAACAAAUGUGUAAGUAACUGUGCACGUCUUGACGGUACCUAAUCAGAAAGCCACGGCUAACUACGUG